This 346-nucleotide ribosomal RNA is filed under the name uncultured Lactobacillaceae bacterium. RNAcentral's name for it is "bacterial SSU rRNA". It matches the Rfam family "Bacterial small subunit ribosomal RNA", at positions 350 to 688 of the family's 1533-position model. The record is from RNAcentral. Lineage: Bacteria; Bacillati; Bacillota; Bacilli; Lactobacillales; Lactobacillaceae.
AGCAGUAGGGAAUCUUCCACAAUGGACGCAAGUCUGAUGGAGCAAUGCCGCGUGAGUGAAGAAGGGUUUCGGCUCGUAAAACUCUGUUGUUGAAAAAGAACGGGUGUCAGAGUAACUGUUGACAUCGUGACGGUAUUCAACCAGAAAGCCACGGCUAACUACGUGCCAGCAGCCGCGGUAAUACGUAGGUGGCAAGCGUUGUCCGGAUUUAUUGGGCGUAAAGCGAGCGCAGGCGGUUAUUUAAGUCUGAUGUGAAAGCCUUCGGCUUAACCGAAGAAGUGCAUCGGAAACUGAAUGACUUGAGUGCAGAAGAGGACAGUGGAACUCCAUGUGUAGCGGUGGAAUA